UACGAAGGGUGCAAACGUUGCUCGGAAUUAUUGGGCGUAAAGCGCACGUAGGCGGCUUAGCAAGUCGGAAGUGAAAGCCCUUGGCUCAACCAAGGAAGUGCUUUCGAAACUGCUGAGCUUGAGUAGUUAAGAGGAUCGCGGAAUUCCCGGUGUAGAGGUGCAAUUCGUAGAUAUCGGGAGGAACACCAGUGGCGAAGGCGGCGAUCUGGGCCCAUACUGACGCUGAGGUGCGAAAGCGUGGGGAGCAACCAGG
RNAcentral lists this ribosomal RNA (253 nucleotides) under uncultured bacterium. RNAcentral describes it as "partial 16S ribosomal RNA". It matches the Rfam family "Bacterial small subunit ribosomal RNA", at positions 524 to 776 of the family's 1533-position model. The record is from RNAcentral.